CCAGACUCCUACGGGAGGCAGCAGUGGGGAAUAUUGCACAAUGGGGGAAACCCUGGUGCAGCGACGCCGCGUGGGCGACGAAGCGCUCCGGCGCGUAAAGCCCUGUCAGCAGGGAAGAACAAAGACAGUACCUGACCAAGAAGCCCCGGCUAACUACGUGCCAGCAGCCGCGGUAAUACGUAGGGAGCAAGCGUUGUCCGGAAUUACUGGGCGUAAAGGGCGCGUAGGUGGGCGCUUAAGUCAGGUGUGAAAACUCCGGGCUCAACCUGGAGACUGCACUUGAAACUGGGUGUCUUGAGGGCAGGAGAGGAAAGUGGAAUUCCUAGUGUAGCGGUGAAAUGCGUAGAUAUUAGGAGGAACACCAGUGGCGAAGGCGACUUUCUGGACUGUACCUGACGCUGAGGCGCGAAAGCGUGGGUAGCGAACGGGAUUAGAUACCCUCGUA
RNAcentral lists this ribosomal RNA (445 nucleotides) under uncultured bacterium. RNAcentral describes it as "bacterial SSU rRNA". It matches the Rfam family "Bacterial small subunit ribosomal RNA", at positions 331 to 792 of the family's 1533-position model. The record is from RNAcentral.